RNAcentral lists this ribosomal RNA (460 nucleotides) under uncultured bacterium. Its description in RNAcentral is "partial 16S ribosomal RNA". It matches the Rfam family "Bacterial small subunit ribosomal RNA", at positions 338 to 795 of the family's 1533-position model. The record is from RNAcentral.
CCUACGGGAGGCAGCAGUGAGGAAUAUUGGUCAAUGGGCGGGAGCCUGAACCAGCCAAGUCGCGUGAGGGAAGACGGUCCUAUGGAUUGUAAACCUCUUUAGGCGGGGAGCAAUGCCGGGCACGCGUGCCCGGAGGGAGAGUACCCGCAGAAUAAGCAUCGGCUAACUCCGUGCCAGCAGCCGCGGUAAUACGGAGGAUGCGAGCGUUAUCCGGAUUUAUGGGGUUUAAAGGGUGCGUAGGCGGAUUUUUAAGUCAGCGGUAACAGAUCCGGGCUCAACCCGGGCCGGCCGUUGAAACUGGGGAUCUUGAGUGGGCGAGAAGUAUGCGGAAUGCGUGGUGUAGCGGUGAAAUGCAUAGAUAUCACGCAGAAAUCCGAUUGCGAAGGCAGCAUACCGGCGCCCGACUGACGCUGAGGCACGAAAGCGUGGGGAUCGAACAGGAUUAGAUACCCUAGUAGUC